RNAcentral lists this ribosomal RNA (1215 nucleotides) under metagenome. RNAcentral's name for it is "SSU rRNA". It matches the Rfam family "Eukaryotic small subunit ribosomal RNA", at positions 224 to 1459 of the family's 1831-position model. The record is from RNAcentral.
AUGGGGUCGCAAGAUCCCUUUUGUAUGGUGACUCUGGAUAACUUUGUGCUGAUCGCAUGGCCUAGAGCCGGCGACGUAUCUUUCAAGUGUCUGCCCUAUCAACUUCCGAUGGUAAGCGAUUUGCCUACCAUGGUUGUAACGGGUAACGGGGAAUCAGGGUUCGAUUCCGGAGAGGGAGCAUGAGAAACGGCUACCACAUCUACGGAAGGCAGCAGGCGCGCAAAUUACCACUCCUAGAACGGGGAGGUAGUGACGAAAAAUAACAAUACCGGACUCAAUGAGGCUCGGUAAUUGAAAUGAGUACAGUUUAAAACCCUUAACGAGGAUCUAUUGGAGGGCAAGUCUGGUGCCAGCAGCCGCGGUAAUUCCAGCUCCAAUAGCGUAUAUUAAAGUUGUUGCAGUUAAAAAGCUCGUAGUUGGAUCUCGGGUACUAGCAUGUGGUACGCUUUUUUGCUGUUACUACAUGUCUGGUCCUAAUCAACCGGUUGGCCGUUGAUGUCCUUUAUUGGGUGUUUUCGGUAGCCGGUACGUUUACUUUGAGAAAAUUAGAGUGCUUAAAGCAGGCCUUAAGCCUGAAUAAUGUUGCAUGGAAUAAUAGAAUAGGACCUCGGUUCUAUUUUGUUGGUUUUGUAGAGCAUUGAGGUAAUGAUUAAUAGGGACAGACGGGGGCAUUCGUAUUGCGGUGUUAGAGGUGAAAUUCUUGGAUCGCCGCAAGACGAACAACUGCGAAAGCAUUUGCCAAGAAUGUUUUCAUAAAUCAAGAACGAAAGUUGGAGGUUCGAAGACGAUUAGAUACCGUCCUAGUUCCAACCAUAAACGAUGCCAACUAGCGAUUAGCUGCUGUUAUUUUUACGACACAGCUAGCAGCUUCCGGGAAACCAAAGUUUUUGGGUUCCGGGGGAAGUAUGGUUGCAAAGCUGAAACUUAAAGGAAUUGACGGAAGGGCACCACCAGGAGUGGAGCCUGCGGCUUAAUUUGACCCAACACGGGAAAUCUCACCCGGCCCGGACACUGUAAGGAUUGACAGAUUGAGAGCUCUUUCUUGAUUCGGUGGGUGGUGGUGCAUGGCCGUUCUUAGUUGGUGGAGCGAUUUGUCUGGUUAAUUCCGAUAACGAACGAGACUCUAGCCUGCUAAAUAGUACGUCGAUCUUUAGUCGGCGCGUACUUCUUAGAGGGACAAGUAGCGGUAAGCUACACGAAAUUGAGCAAUAACAG